AACGAACGCUGGCAGCAUGCCUAACACAUGCGAGUCGAACGAGACCUUCGGGUCUAGUGGCGCACGGGUGCGUAACGCGUGGGAACCUGCCCUUAGGUUCGGAAUAACUCCCCGAAAGGGGUGCUAAUACCGGAUAAUGUCUUCGGACCAAAGAUUUAUCGCCUUUGGAUGGGCCCGCGUUGGAUUAGCUAGUUGGUAGGGUAAAAGCCUACCAAGGCGACGAUCCAUAGCUGGUCUGAGAGGAUGAUCAGCCACACUGGGACUGAGACACGGCCCAGACUCCUACGGGAGGCAGCAGUGGGGAAUAUUGGACAAUGGGCGAAAGCCUGAUCCAGCAAUGCCGCGUGAGUGAUGAAGGCCUUAGGGUUGUAAAGCUCUUUUACCCGGGAUGAUAAUGACAGUACCGGGAGAAUAAGCUCCGGCUAACUCCGUG
RNAcentral lists this ribosomal RNA (433 nucleotides) under uncultured bacterium. RNAcentral describes it as "partial 16S ribosomal RNA". It matches the Rfam family "Bacterial small subunit ribosomal RNA", at positions 29 to 507 of the family's 1533-position model. The record is from RNAcentral.